Long non-coding RNA from Triticum aestivum (bread wheat), 850 nucleotides. RefSeq lists it as uncharacterized. The transcript has 3 exons. NCBI's taxonomy places the organism in Eukaryota, Viridiplantae, Streptophyta, Magnoliopsida, Poales, Poaceae. The record is from RefSeq and is a predicted model, not a curated record.
GGGACUCCACGACUACUGUUUGACAUUCCGAAGAUGCUAAUGUUGGGCGAAAAAUGAGUGCCCAUAAUUGGUAUGCUUGACUAACAGACGAACAAAGAGCAGAACACUUACAUAAGCUGCGGUUGGCUCGCCUGCAAAAAAAAGCUGUAGCUGACAGUGUUACUGUCGAAUUACCUCACAGCUCGUACUCGCGAUCUUCACCUGGUUCAGCCAUUACGGUACAAAUCUCCGAGGGUACUUGUCUUCCCGUGGCACGGCACAAAGCGACAACUACAACCGGCGCUGCGAGUGUCAAACAGCGCCAACCAUCUGCCGGGGAAGCGUCACCUGGUCAGAGCGCCAACAUUUGUUUUCAGUUCAUACUUGCAAUGUCACAUAAAUUGUGGACUGAAGCUGGAAUGCUUAUCAUCCCACAAGUUUCUACAUCAACUGUAGAUAUCACACAUUAUGGAUUGACACAUUCCAGUAUCACCCGUCUGGGACACACGCUGGUUGGAGAGCCAAAGACAAAGGAGGACGAUUUUAAUGAUUGGUUGCACAGGAAUCCAACUUACGUACGGGGAGCGAGGUCGUCUGAACACAAUAGUAACAUCUUACGGACUGGAUCAAGGUCGGCUGUACACAAUAGUAACGUCUUACAGGCAGGAGGAGAGCACGGACAACAUGACUUUGUGCCCACGAGUUUUAUCUUCAGUCCGUCCAUUGAACCACAAGAUUCAGCUGCCCGCUACGAGAAGGAGCGCAUUCGUAAGAGAACGAAUUACUCAGAAAUGAGCACGGACCAAAGAGAUGCCUUAUUAUAUCGGGUUCGCGAGUACAAGAAAAGAAAGUGGACGACUUGUGCCUCAUC